AUCAAAGACAAAUGCUGUAAGUUACCACUUGUGCAAUCUGGGGGAAAAAAAAUGAAUAUAAGAAAACAGGAGCAGAUUCACAGAACAAACUAGUGGUUAAAUGGGGGAGAGGAAUGGGAGGAGGGGCAAGAUAGGGACAAGGGAUUAAGAGGUACAAGCUAUUAUGCAGAUAUACUGUACAGCAUAGGAAAUAUUGCCAAUAUUUUAUAAUAACUUUACAUAGAGUAUAACCCAUAAAAAUACUGAAUCACUAUGUUGUACAUCUGAAACAAACUACCACUAUAACUCAACUAUACUUCAAUAAGGACAAAAAGAGGGGAACUCACAAAGGGACGAGUGGACAGAGAGGUGGAAGAAACUUGAGAGUUGUUAAUAUCAGAAACCAAGGAGAGUUCUUUACUUAAUGGUAAUAACUAAAACCUAGCAACAGAUAACAUCCAUAGGAGAGCUCCCAGGAAGAAUCUGUCCACUGCGGCAGGCAACCUGUAAAAUAACCCCAAUAUUUUCUGCCUAAUAUUUACAUCUUUAAGUAAUCUGCUCCCUUAAAUGUUGGCUGGACCUUAAGUGUGACUUCAAAAUAAGAGACUAGAAAAUCACUUCCAAGAUUAAGUUACAUGAAGACCGACUUCAGCUUUGUUUACCUCUCUAAACCUGUGCUCUGAGAGAAAGCAGCAAGCUGUCCUGUUGUGAGUAACCCUGUGGAGAGGGCAAUAUGGCAAGGAACUGAUACCUCCUAAACAGCAGCCAGCAAGGAUCUGAGAUCUGACAACUGCUACAUGAGUAAGCUUGUACCCUUCAGACCCUUCUUACUAUCCUUCAGGCACAAGAUGAUUAUGGCCUAUGGAUUCCUGCACUGCAACUUUGUGAGAACACUUUGUCAGAAGCAUCUAGCCAGGCUGUGCCUCUGAAUAAAAAGCCAAAAAAUUUUUUAAAAAUAGGUAAACUUGGGAGUUUAGCUAUUUCUAAACUCAUCGUGUAGCAACCAGUAAAUAACACAUCAAUAACAGUCUAUGAAAACCAUGGAGAAGGGAUUUUAUGACAUAUAUUUGGCAGCAUAAAAAAGAAAUUAUUGUAAAUUAUCAAAAUUACUAGGAGAUCACUAAUGACCUCCAUGAGAGGGACAUUAGUGGUCACCAGGAGACAGGCCAAGACUCCUCCAUAGAGAGGAUAAAACCAUUAGGCAAUAAGACCAGGGCCCGGCCCAAGCCCCAGUCCCUCCAAACCCUUCCAAAUACAUCAGAUGGUCUACAAGUUGAAGUGCUGACCCAUCUCCCCUUCCCUUCAGUAGGCAUGCUGCGUAGUUAAAAUUUAAUCACAGUGCUCACUAUUGUUUCAUGUGUAUUAUCUUUUCAUCAGUUCCUGAGGACAGACCUUGGGUUUGCUUCCUAUCUCUUCUUUGCCUCCACUCCUAACCAAACAACUAGCUUUGAGGGCAGCAAAAAUUUUCCAUAACCCUUCUAAGUCCAAAACCAGUAUUCCAUUUCUAGGUUUCUAAAAUACAAUUUGACUAGACUUAUCAGGAAAUAAAAUGUAUUAAAAAUUUGCAUUUCUUCCACCUUCAUCACCCAUCAAAGCUGGAGAUAAUUUUCCAUAAUCUCAUUCUAGGUUGGUUUGUCUUCAAUUGUGAUAACAAUUGUGAUCAUUAUUUUAUGUUAUCACUUACAAAGUUUAUUUGGUAAUAUUUCUUCUGACAUGAUACAUCUCAAUUC
This 1709-nucleotide long non-coding RNA is filed under the name Capra hircus (goat). RNAcentral describes it as "lncRNA (ENSCHIG00010030752.1)". The record is from RNAcentral. Lineage: Eukaryota; Metazoa; Chordata; Mammalia; Artiodactyla; Bovidae.